AUAGGGGCUAUAUAUAUAUAUAUAUAUAUAUAUAUAUAUAUAUAUAUAUAUAUAUAUAUAUAGGGAGAGGUUCAAGAAAGAACCAUAAAUAAAAGAAGACCGGAGAACCAUUUUCAGCCAUUCGAUCAUCAAGAUCUACGGUGGAUGCAUCAUCUUGUUGGAUAAAUGCAGAUCCUGGGUUCGAAUCCUGAAGGGAGCAUUUUUUUAAAAAAAUUUUAGUGCAUUAAUUUUAACAGCGGAUGCAUUAAUUUUUACAGUGGAUGCAUUAGAUUUGAUGGUUCUCCCGUUAUCACAAAUAAUGUAGUUCUCUUUAGAACCACACCAUAUAUAUAUAUAUAUAUAUAUGGUGAUAUAUAUAUAUAUAUAUGGUGAGGCUACCAUGAAAACACUCUUAAGUGUAUAAAAUAUGGAUGAAAUCCAUCCAUCCAUUACACUUAAAUCAACGGCCCAGAUGUUAGAUUUAGAAGAUUGAUUAUUCUUUGUGUUUACACUAAUAAUUCGUAAUGUUAUUAGAAAUAAGGGUAUAAUUGUAAAACUUAAAACUUGACCUUCCGUCUCCUACUAUCUUUUCCGAUUCUCUUGGCAGUAGAUAUGGAAAGAUUUAAGUUCCAUAUUAUAAAUGCUUUUUAGUGGGAUUUGAAUAAACAAAUUAAUAGUUACGAAAAUAUUAACCAUCCACAAGCUUUCAGUCCCAGCGCAUAUAGAAGGCGGCGAAUCUAGGGUUUUUGAAGAGACGAAAUGUCGAAAACGAAGGGUGGAUCUUGAGGUUCAUUGGGCAAAUUGCAAUGUGCGUAGGAAUUUUCCACUUUUUAGGAACUGGAGCAACAAGAAGCUUAGAGAUAGAGAGACAGUGGGAAUUAAUUCUGGUGGGUUUGGCGAUGGCGUGUUGAUGGAACCAAUUCCUUUACCCGAGGUCAGGAGACUGUCGCCAUUGGAAAAUUUGGCAAAGAUGGUGGAGGUUUUAUGUGAAGCAUAGAGAUGAUAUGUCGUGUUUUAUAAACUUUGUUGAUGCUGCACUACUUGAGGAUGAAUGUUUUAGGAAGAGUUUAGAUGAUUAGUUGGUGGAUAUUUUUAUGCCUUACGUUCAUACCUAUUUUGAGGAUGCAUCUAGAUGUUUUAUAUUAUAUUCCUACUGAAUAAAUGAAGGUUAUUUUAUUA
Molecule: long non-coding RNA, 1158 nt
Organism: Salvia miltiorrhiza (redroot sage)
Lineage: Eukaryota; Viridiplantae; Streptophyta; Magnoliopsida; Lamiales; Lamiaceae
Exons: 2
Source: RefSeq, a predicted model, not a curated record